CAGUAGCCGCGGUAAUACAGAGGGUGCGAGCGUUAAUCGGAUUUACUGGGCGUAAAGCGUGCGUAGGCGGCUAAUUGAGUCGGAUGUGAAAUCCCCGAGCUUAACUUGGGAAUUGCAUUCGAUACUGGUUAGCUAGAGUGUGGGAGAGGAUGGUAGAAUUCCAGGUGUAGCGGUGAAAUGCGUAGAGAUCUGGAGGAAUACCGAUGGCGAAGGCAGCCAUCUGGCCUAAUACUGACGCUGAGGUACGAAAGCAUGGGGAGCAAACAGGAUUAGAUACCCGUGUAGUCCCUGUCUCUUAUAC
This 301-nucleotide ribosomal RNA is filed under the name uncultured bacterium. RNAcentral's name for it is "partial 16S ribosomal RNA". It matches the Rfam family "Bacterial small subunit ribosomal RNA", at positions 509 to 807 of the family's 1533-position model. The record is from RNAcentral.